RNAcentral lists this ribosomal RNA (417 nucleotides) under uncultured microorganism. RNAcentral describes it as "bacterial SSU rRNA". It matches the Rfam family "Archaeal small subunit ribosomal RNA", at positions 330 to 745 of the family's 1478-position model. The record is from RNAcentral.
GCGCAGCAGGCGAGAAAACUUCACACUGUGCGAAAGCACGAUGAGGGAAUCCCAAGUGCUUGCACGUAAGUGUAAGCUGUUUCUCUGUCUAAAACGCAGAGAGAGUAAGGGCUGGGUAAGACGGGUGCCAGCCGCCGCGGUAAUACCUGCAGCUCAAGUGGUGACCGUUAUUAUUGGGCCUAAAACGUCCGUAGCCGGUUUAAUAAAUGCCUGGGUAAAUUGUGUAGCUUAACUAUACGAAUUCCGGGUAGACUGUUAAACUUGAGACCGGGAGAAGUUAGAGGUACUCCUGGGGUAGAGGUGAAAAUUCUGUAAUCCUAGGGGGACCACCAGUGGCGAAGGCGUCUAACUAGAGCGGGUCUGACGGUGAGGGACGAAGCCCGUGGGGCGCGAAACGGGAUUAGAUACCCCGGUAGU